This 316-nucleotide ribosomal RNA is filed under the name uncultured eukaryote. RNAcentral describes it as "partial 18S ribosomal RNA". It matches the Rfam family "Eukaryotic small subunit ribosomal RNA", at positions 1470 to 1796 of the family's 1831-position model. The record is from RNAcentral.
CCCUUAGAUGUUCUGGGCGGCCCGCGCACUACAAUGGCGCGUUCGUCGAGAACCAAGGUUGAAUUAUUCGAGGUAUUCUUGCAAAACGCGUCUUGAUUGGGAUAGAUCCUUGUAAUUGUUGGUCUUGAACGAGGAAUUCCUUGUAAGCGUGGUUUAUCAUCCCACGUUGAAUGCGUCCCUGCCCUUUGUACACACCGCCCGUCGCUCCUACCGAUGAAUUGUCCGGUGAAAUCUCGGGACGGCGGCUUGGUCGCUUGCGUCCGACUGCUGAAACUUGAUUAAACCAUAUCAUUUAGAGGAAGGUGAAGUCGUAACA